This is a long non-coding RNA of Asparagus officinalis (garden asparagus), 1036 nucleotides long. RefSeq lists it as uncharacterized. The record is from RefSeq and is a predicted model, not a curated record. The transcript has 3 exons. NCBI's taxonomy places the organism in Eukaryota, Viridiplantae, Streptophyta, Magnoliopsida, Asparagales, Asparagaceae.
GGUUUGGUUGGAAUAAUGAGUGCGAUAUUGAUGCAGAGUUUGCCGUUGCAAAUCUAUAAUCAAAGAGGCUCACGAUGUUCCCUCAGCAAAAUUGGGGAACAUCUAACAGAUGACCUAAAGUUCUCUCCUUUAUCACCUGUUAUGUUACCAAAAGUUACCCGCACUGUAAAAUUUCAAUUAUCAAUUCUUUGCCUAAUAUGAUCUUUCACCAAAUUCUUGAUUUUCCUUUGUAUUUCAUAAAAAAGGCUUCAACCUAACCGGUUUUGCAUUUUCUGGAGGAGUAUCAUGAGUCUCUUUGAUGCUUGGUGCAUCAGCUUCUUCACGUGGUUUCCGGGCAUCAUGAUUUGAGCACCAUUAUAAAUUUUCAGAUCGUACUUUGAUUGACAUAGGCUCUCGAGGAACUUCCAUUUCAACUUCUGCAAAUGAAUGAUCUUUCUCAAGAAUGUAAGGGUGCUAGUGUUUGAAUAAGUGUUUGUAGCAUCAAGUCAAAGAGAUAUUCAUUAAAAAUCAAACAAGCAGCUCUUUUGUAUUUUCGGAAUUAUGAUGGGAGUGAAAAACAGAAUGUCCAGAUUGGUUUCUGAUUAUCUUCACUCGUGAAUAAAAAUUAAUUGCUGCUAGGGUUUUGUUGUCAGUCAGAUCGAGCAGCAAGGAGUCAAAACGCUUCGUAGUUGAAUUUGGUUCGUAAGAUGAUAGGGUUGUGACUGUGUGUGAGGGAUGGUUGAGGUUGAUUAAAGUUGGCAUUGACAAGUUGAAGGCUGAUGGAGCAGAUUUAGAAGUGUAAUCUUAUAUACUCAAUCCCUCCAAAUAGUGAGGGAUAGCGGAGAUAAUUUGUUCUUGAGGCGGGUUAAUUGGUCCUUUCAAUCGUUCAGUGAUGCCUUGUGAAUGUAGGCUGAAUUGUUCUGCUCGGCGUCUUCUUUGAUUAAAAUAGCGUCGAUUUAUUGACUCAGCUGAAUCUGUUGGCUCUCUGUGUGCUUGCUCUUGAUUGUUUGAAAUCUGUACUACUCAAAGUUCGGAAAAUCUUCAAAAGUUUUAGUGA